AUUGGUCACACCUUUGACUUUUAUGUCUUGCCAAAAAGAGAAGAAUGUACCUGAAGAACCUUGCAUUCAUGUGCUAAUGUGGAUGCCCUGGGAAUUUUUACAGGGGACUCAGACCAGUCAUUUGGAGAUUCCAGAAAAGAACAUUCUAUCCAGCAUUGGUGACCCUUCAGGACGUUCAGACAUGCGCUACUGAUGGGAUCGGCUGAAAACUAUUACAGCUUCCACUCUUUUGGCAAGCUUUCUUACAAGAUUUUGAAGAGUGUCUACGGUAAUUAUUUCCCAUUCAUCCAGAAUUGUGAGGUCAGACACUGAUAUAGAACAAGAAGGCCUGAUUCACAAUCUCUGUUCUAGUUCAUCCCAUAGGUGUUCGAUGGGGUCAACCAGCCAUGCCUUUUGCUUUGGAAAUUGCUUUGUGCACUGGGGCACAUUCAUGCUGGAAUAGAAGGGUCUUCCCCAAACUGUCCCCACAAAGUUGGAAGCGAACAUCUAUCCAAAAUGUCUUGUUAUGCUGAAGCAUUAAGAUUUGCCUUCACUGAGACUAAGGGGUCUAGGCCAACCCCUGAAAAACAACCCCAUAUCAUUAUCCCUCCUUCACCAAACUUUACAGUUGGCACAACGCAGUCAAGCAGGUAAGGUUCUCCUGGCAUUCAUCAAAGCCAGACUCGUCCAGACACUGCCAGAUAGAGAAGCAUAAUUCGCCACCUCGCAGAA
This is a long non-coding RNA of Pygocentrus nattereri (red-bellied piranha), 711 nucleotides long. Lineage: Eukaryota; Metazoa; Chordata; Actinopteri; Characiformes; Serrasalmidae. The record is from Ensembl.